RNAcentral lists this small RNA (1249 nucleotides) under Theobroma cacao (cacao). RNAcentral's name for it is "sRNA Tc02v2_g017290". Lineage: Eukaryota; Viridiplantae; Streptophyta; Magnoliopsida; Malvales; Malvaceae. The record is from RNAcentral.
GGUUCCUUUUCUUUUCUCUCCAGAACACUCUCCCUCUCUUUUCUCCUUCGCCGCCGGCGUAAGCUCUUUCCUUCUUCUUUUUUGUUUUCUUCCCUCUCUCUUCCUCACCUUUCUCCGUAACCGUCUGCAGCUUUCUCCAUCGGCGUCUUCUUAUCUCCUUCUCUUCUCCCUAUCUUUCUUUGUUAUUUUCUUCUAUCUUCCUUUGUUGGUUCUUCUACCUCCUGGCCCCCCUUCAAAAACCUUCUCCAAUGGAAAAUCUGCCGUUCAUCCUUGCUGCCGACUACCCAAAACCCCACCUUCUUGCCGGCCUUUUCAUAAUCGGAUCUCUGUCUUUCUCCUUUAGCCGGCCAUACCACCUUCACACCCUCCAAAUUCAUCACAAAUCCGAACCCACAUUCGUGGGUCAUUGCCAAGUUCUUAAUUUUCUUUUUUUUUGUAUUAUUUUUGUAUUUUGUGUUUGAGUGCUUGGUCUGCUACUGUGGUUGUGCAUCGAGUCUGCGUUUGGAAAUGGGUUUUGAUAUGAGGGCUGAUAUUCACUUUAGUCUUUGAAUGGUUGAAAACUUUGCUACUUAAAUUAUUUGCUCGGCUUUUGUUUGCUCAUCUCUGCAUCGUCUACUGUUAUUGUCUACAUCUUCCAACACUCUCUAUUAGUGUCACUUAGCACAGAAUGACAAAACAAAUUGAGAAAGGCAAGGCAAAAUUGUUUAAUGCCAAAAGAAGGAAGCAUUCCAAAGCACACUGAUGAUUCAUUUUCAUUUGUGGUUUAUGCAAAAAUGAUGGUAUGAAUUAAUCUUACUUCGCAUUUAUAUGUAUGGUUUUUCUUCAAACUAAAUUUAAAUUGUAUGUUUAGUAAUUUGACUUUGGUUUUUCAUUACAUGUUAUUUAUAUAUAUCGAUUAUGAUUGAGCAUAUAUAGUUGUAAAUAAAUGCAGGCAAUUGAGAUGAAACGAGAUAUUAGUUUUUUGGAAGUGUUCAACCGCACUCAUAAGCGCUCAAGGGGCCAUGGUAUUUUAUAAAUAAUAAGUCCAAGUCUACGAGUGUACGUAUAAAAUUGAUUUAUUUUUACUUUAAAGUUGACAACUUAGCUGAAUAAUAAUUUUGAUUAAUUUUUUAUGUAAGAAAUGUAUAAUUUUGUACUAUCACAGAGUAUGGUGAGGAUUUAUAUUCUCAGUCAGAAUUAGAUCCGCAUGCUUGGACUGAAGCAAUUGGAGUGAUGGAAACUACACUGUCAAACCCUAUUCUAUAAAAUA